This 73-nucleotide transfer RNA is filed under the name Candidatus Cloacimonadota bacterium. RNAcentral describes it as "Candidatus Cloacimonetes bacterium (wastewater metagenome) tRNA-Ile". It matches the Rfam family "tRNA". From Rfam's summary of the family: Transfer RNA (tRNA) molecules are approximately 80 nucleotides in length. Their secondary structure includes four short double-helical elements and three loops (D, anti-codon, and T loops). The record is from RNAcentral. Lineage: Bacteria; Pseudomonadati; Candidatus Cloacimonadota.
GGGUCUAUAGCUCAGUGGUUAGAGCAGUCGACUCAUAAUCGAUUGGUCCAAGGUUCAAGUCCUUGUAGACCCA